Transfer RNA from Acinetobacter brisouii CIP 110357, 74 nucleotides. It matches the Rfam family "tRNA". From Rfam's summary of the family: Transfer RNA (tRNA) molecules are approximately 80 nucleotides in length. NCBI's taxonomy places the organism in Bacteria, Pseudomonadati, Pseudomonadota, Gammaproteobacteria, Moraxellales, Moraxellaceae. The record is from Rfam.
GGGCCUAUAGCUCAGUUGGUUAGAGCAGCGGACUCAUAAUCCGUUGGUCCACAGUUCAAGUCUGUGUGGGCCCA